RNAcentral lists this small RNA (421 nucleotides) under Pan troglodytes (chimpanzee). RNAcentral's name for it is "retained intron". The record is from RNAcentral. Lineage: Eukaryota; Metazoa; Chordata; Mammalia; Primates; Hominidae.
GGGAGCUAAGUCCAAUAGUGGCACGUAGUAAUUAUUAAGUUGAUUUUUAAAAAUUUUAUGGUAUUCUCUUUUUUAAGUUAAGAGAAAAUAAGAAAGUAAUCACUAUUUGAAGCAGAUAUUUAAUGCUUGCAACUAUAUCAUCAUUAAAUAUUAAGACACAUCAAAUAAUACUUAUAACCUUAAGCUAUCAGAUGAACUUUGCUUUUUUAUGGCAGACAGGUCUUUGAGGGAAAAAUCAUUUAAAAUUUGAAAAUUGGGUUGUUUGUAGGAAUUGCAGUGCAACAAAGUACGUGAAAAUCAGGUUUCAAUAGAAUGUGACACAACGUGCAAGGAAAUGAAGCGGAGAGCAUCUGAGAUAAAAGAAGCAGAAGCCAAAGCUGCUUUUGAAGAAGAAAAACGAAGACAACAGGUAACUGAACAA